UCCCGUGUUGCUCAGUCGGUAGAGCAUGAUGCUUGCAACACCAAGGUUGUGGGUUUGAUUCCCACUGGGAC
Molecule: transfer RNA, 71 nt
Filed under: Salmo salar (Atlantic salmon)
Lineage: Eukaryota; Metazoa; Chordata; Actinopteri; Salmoniformes; Salmonidae
Also listed under: 1 other name
Rfam family: tRNA
About the family: Transfer RNA (tRNA) molecules are approximately 80 nucleotides in length. Their secondary structure includes four short double-helical elements and three loops (D, anti-codon, and T loops).
Source: Rfam by way of RNAcentral